GAAAAUGGUCGUCUUAUCGCCUCUGCUUGCAGGGGAGGAAAGUCUGGACAGCGUAGAGCAUCAUGCUUCCUAACGGGAAGGCACGUAUUUGGCGACGAAUCCGUGACAGCUAGUGCCACAGAAAAUUACCGCCCGCAAGGGUAAGGGUGAAAAGGUAGCGUAAGAGACUACCGCCUUAAUGGUGACAUUGAGGGCAGAGGUAAACCUCAUGAGAUGAAAGACCAAAUAGGUCGGCAAGCAAAGGCGUAAGCCAAUGUAAAGGGCUGCUCGUUCGUGCCGACGGGUAGGUUGAUAGAGCGUAUCGGUGACGAUGCGUCGAGAUAAAUGAUGAGACGGUUUUUAGCAAUAAAAACUGACAGAAUCCGGCUUAUAGACCAUUUUUAUUU
This 386-nucleotide RNase P RNA is filed under the name Flectobacillus sp. RNAcentral's name for it is "RNase P RNA component class A". It matches the Rfam family "Bacterial RNase P class A". From Rfam's summary of the family: Ribonuclease P (RNase P) is a ubiquitous endoribonuclease, found in archaea, bacteria and eukarya as well as chloroplasts and mitochondria. Its best characterised activity is the generation of mature 5'-ends of tRNAs by cleaving the 5'-leader elements of precursor-tRNAs. The record is from RNAcentral. Lineage: Bacteria; Pseudomonadati; Bacteroidota; Cytophagia; Cytophagales; Flectobacillaceae.